Molecule: non-coding RNA, 45 nt
Organism: Schistosoma rodhaini
Lineage: Eukaryota; Metazoa; Platyhelminthes; Trematoda; Strigeidida; Schistosomatidae
Source: Rfam
AUCUAGCUGACGAGUCGUAAACAGGAUGAAACGCACAUCCUGGAU